GACGUAGGGCGCGAGCGUUGUCCGGAUUUAUUGGGCGUAAAGGGCUCGUAGGCGGUUUGUCGCGUCGGGAGUGAAAUCCACUGGCUUAACUGGUGGCUUGCUUUCGAUACGGGCAGACUGGAGGUAUGCAGGGGAGAACGGAAUUCCUGGUGUAGCGGUGAAAUGCGCAGAUAUCAGGAGGAACACCGCGGCGAAGGCGGGCGCUGGUCGGCGAACUGACGCUGAGGAGCGAAAGCUGGGUAGCAACAGG
RNAcentral lists this ribosomal RNA (250 nucleotides) under uncultured bacterium. RNAcentral describes it as "partial 16S ribosomal RNA". It matches the Rfam family "Bacterial small subunit ribosomal RNA", at positions 524 to 775 of the family's 1533-position model. The record is from RNAcentral.